ACGGGAGGCAGCAGUGGGGAAUAUUGGACAANGGGGGGAACCCUNAUCCAGCAAUGCCGCGUGAUGUGAAGAAGGCCUGAGGGUUGUAAAGCACUUUCAGCUGGGGAGGAGGAUGCUUAGSUUAAGAGCUAGAGUWUUGGACGUUACCCACACGAAGAAGCACCGGCUAACUCCGUGCCAGCAGCCGCGGUAAUACGGAGGGUGCGAGCGUUAUAUCGGAAUUACUGGGCGUAAAGAGUGCGUAGGUGGUUAAUUAAGUUNUCUGUGAAAUUCCUGGGCUUAACCUGGGCAGGUCAGAUAAUACUGAUUGACUCGAGUAUGGGAGAGGGUAGUGGAAUUUCCGGUGUAGCGGUGAAAUGCGUAGAGAUCGGAAGGAACACCAGUGGCGAAGGCGGCUACCUGGCCUAAUACUGACACUGAGGCACGAAAGCGUGGGGAGCAAACAGGAUUAGAUACCCYGGUAGUCCACGCUGUAAACGAUGUCAACUAGACUGUUGGUUAUAUAAAAAUAAUYAGUGGCGCAGCAAACGCGAUAAGUUGACCGCCUGGAGAGUACGGUCGCNNAGAUUAAAACUC
This 576-nucleotide ribosomal RNA is filed under the name uncultured Gammaproteobacteria bacterium. Its description in RNAcentral is "bacterial SSU rRNA". It matches the Rfam family "Bacterial small subunit ribosomal RNA", at positions 341 to 902 of the family's 1533-position model. The record is from RNAcentral. Lineage: Bacteria; Pseudomonadati; Pseudomonadota; Gammaproteobacteria.